GACGAACGCUGGCGGCGUGCCUAAUACAUGCCAGUUGAGCGAUGAAGAUUGGUGCUUGCACCAAUUUGAAGAGCAGCGAACGGGUGAGUAACGCGUGGGGAAUCUGCCUUUGAGCGGGGGACAACAUUGGGAAACGAUUCCUAUUACCGAAAAACACCUUUAAACAUAGUUUUUAGGUUUAAAAGUGGAAUUUCAUUCCUCAAAGGUGGUCCCGCGUUGUAUUUGCUUGUUGGGGAGGUAAAGGGUCACCAAGGCGAUGGUACAUAGGCGACCUGAGAGGGUGAUCGGCCACAGUGGGACUGAGACACGGCCCAAACUCCUACGGGAGGCAGCAGUAGGGAAUCUUCGGCAAUGGACGAAAGUCUGACCGAGCAACGCCGCGGGAGUGAAGAAGGUUUUCGGAUCGUAAAACUCUGUUGGUAGAGAAGAACGUUGGUGAGAGUGGAAAGCUCAUCAAGUGACGGUAACUACCCAGAAAGGGACGGCUAACUACGUG
Molecule: ribosomal RNA, 496 nt
Filed under: uncultured bacterium
Lineage: Bacteria
Description: partial 16S ribosomal RNA
Rfam family: Bacterial small subunit ribosomal RNA
Source: RNAcentral